This 178-nucleotide unclassified non-coding RNA is filed under the name uncultured fungus. RNAcentral describes it as "sequence contains ITS1, 5.8S rRNA gene". The record is from RNAcentral. Lineage: Eukaryota; Fungi.
CAUAGCGAGAAUCAUAAUGGCUCGUUAAAUCUCCAUUAUCCACCUUGUGUGCACUGUAGAGUUGGGAAGGAAAAAAAAAAAAAGACUCGUCUUUUUUUUCUUUUCUUUUCUUUUCUCAAAAAUUCACUUGUACUACACAUUUCAGUCUAAUUUAUUACGAGUAAUUAAAACUCUAAUA